RNAcentral lists this long non-coding RNA (199 nucleotides) under Hordeum vulgare. Its description in RNAcentral is "long non-coding RNA (HVUL_LNC008632)". Lineage: Eukaryota; Viridiplantae; Streptophyta; Magnoliopsida; Poales; Poaceae. The record is from RNAcentral.
CCUCUUGCCCCCCGUCUCUAUUAUGGAGUUCCAAGCAUGACCGUUUGCCAGGAAAAUAUGGAGUAUGCUGUGGUAGUAGCUCACGUCAACAAAUCAUCAGUCAAUCCUGUAGUAACUCGGCCUGCUUACCUGGAUCUUAGUAGCUAGCUGCACCUAGGUAGUAGUAGUAACAAACAUUGUUCUUGGCCUAUCCUAUGAC